This 86-nucleotide transfer RNA is filed under the name Boseongicola sp. SB0665_bin_10. RNAcentral's name for it is "tRNA-Leu". It matches the Rfam family "tRNA". From Rfam's summary of the family: Transfer RNA (tRNA) molecules are approximately 80 nucleotides in length. Their secondary structure includes four short double-helical elements and three loops (D, anti-codon, and T loops). RNAcentral also lists the same sequence under 1 other name. The record is from RNAcentral. Lineage: Bacteria; Pseudomonadati; Pseudomonadota; Alphaproteobacteria; Rhodobacterales; Paracoccaceae.
GCGGGCGUGGCGGAAUGGUAGACGCAUGAGACUUAAAAUCUCUGGAGCCUAGGCUCGUGCCGGUUCGAGUCCGGUCGCCCGCACCA